Trichechus manatus latirostris (Florida manatee) is the source of this 107-nucleotide small nuclear RNA. Lineage: Eukaryota; Metazoa; Chordata; Mammalia; Sirenia; Trichechidae. The record is from RefSeq and is a predicted model, not a curated record.
GUGCUUGCUUCGGCAGCAUAUACAUUAAAAUUGGAACGAUACAGAGAAGAUUAGCAUGGCCUCUGCGCAAGGAUGACACGCAGAUAUGUGAAGUGUUCCAUAUUUUU